GCAACAGUUACCUCCACUGACCGGGAGUCUCUGACAUCCACGCGGGACUUGAGGACCUUUAACCGGCCAGUCUGAGGAGGCAGACUCACCGUGACGGAAAACGGAGCUUUUCGAGUCUGUCCGCUUCUAACAGCUCACCACAGAUGUCGUUUGAUCCUCCCACUGCUGCUGCUUAUGGGAAUCAACAACAACAACAGCGGCAGACAACACUUGGCUGUCUUCACUCCAUCAGUUCCUGAACAUUUGUGUGCUGUGGUGCAGCAGUAGAGCGGUUGGCUUCCGAUCAGAAGAUUGCAAACUUUGGUUCCUGCUCUGUCCUCACAUGUGUAGAAGGGUCCUUGGGCAAGACAUUGAACCCCACAUUGCUCCUGGUGGUGAAAGCAAGGUCACCAGAGAUGUUUGCUCCUGCCAGGAUCCCAGUGGCUGCUGGGAAGAAAAUGGCAAACACGGAGAAGAAGGUUUCCUCAUCCCUAAAAUCUGGUCCAAAGUUCUCCACGAGAAGGGCAGCUGUCAGAGAGCAGAGUCAAAACAUAGGAAAAUUACACUUAAAAUAAUGAUGGCAUGAAGGUUCCUAUGAAGAAGUUGGCGAUGGCUCCCAACAGGAUCACCAAGAGGACAAUCUGAGCCUGAUGGACGAAGAAAAUGAAAGUAUAAAACAUUUUAGUCUUCAUCUCCACCUUGGCUUCCCACUCCAUUCCGGCCACAGAGAUUCCCAGCAGCAGGAUGACGGUCAGAGUCCCGACGAUGCGAAUGUCAUUCAACUCGUCAGUCAUCAGAGCGUCCACGUCCUGCAGACACAAAGCCAACAACGUACAUGGCCACAGCCACUGCAUUGGCAAAGGCAAAGAUGAGCCCGAUGGAGCCUCCAAACUCUGGCCCAAGACUCCUGGAGAUGAGGCUGUAGGUGCAGCAGAAGCCUCACUCUCACCUCCUCGGACAAAGCCGUUGGUUGCAAUAGCAGAAGUUGACAGACCGGUGAUGGUGGUGACCAGAGUGGCCAUCAGAAUAAUUGCAAUUGUGAGUCCUGUUUUAAAAAACAA
Molecule: long non-coding RNA, 1040 nt
Organism: Oryzias melastigma (Indian medaka)
Lineage: Eukaryota; Metazoa; Chordata; Actinopteri; Beloniformes; Adrianichthyidae
Exons: 8
Source: RefSeq, a predicted model, not a curated record